GAAAAAAAAUACAGAAAUUAACUCCCAAACCCAAUGUGAACGUUACCAAACUGUUGCCUCGGCGGGAUCUCUGCCCCGGGUGCGUCGCAGCCCCGGACCAAGGCGCCCGCCGGAGGACCAACCAAAACUCUUAUUGUAUACCCCCUCGCGGGUUUUUUUAUAAUCUGAGCCUUCUCGGCGCCUCUCGUAGGCGUUUCGAAAAUGAAUCAAAACUUUCAACAACGGAUCUCUUGGUUCUGGCAUCGAUGAAGAACGCAGCGAAAUGCGAUAAGUAAUGUGAAUUGCAGAAUUCAGUGAAUCAUCGAAUCUUUGAACGCACAUUGCGCCCGCCAGUAUUCUGGCGGGCAUGCCUGUCCGAGCGUCAUUUCAACCCUCGAACCCCUCCGGGGGGUCGGCGUUGGGGAUCGGCCCUCCCUUAGCGGGUGGCCGUCUCCGAAAUACAGUGGCGGUCUCGCCGCAGCCUCUCCUGCGCAGUAGUUUGCACACUCGCAUCGGGAGCGCGGCGCGUCCACAGCCGUUAAACACCCAACUUCUGAAAUGUUGACCUCGGAUCAGGUAGGAAUACCCGCUGAACUUAAGCAUAUCAAUAAGCGGAGGAAAAGAAACCAACAGGGAUUGCCCCAGUAACGAA
RNAcentral lists this ribosomal RNA (631 nucleotides) under Trichoderma sp. PALM1. RNAcentral's name for it is "eukaryotic LSU rRNA". The stretch from base 211 to 364 matches the Rfam family "5.8S ribosomal RNA". Lineage: Eukaryota; Fungi; Ascomycota; Sordariomycetes; Hypocreales; Hypocreaceae. The record is from RNAcentral.